AAUCCUCAACCUACAAGCUUUUGUGGUUUGUAGGCUUGGACUUGGAGGCUUGUCGGCCGUUAUCGGUCGGCUCCUCUUAAAUGCAUUAGCUUGGUUCCUUGCGGAUCGGCUCUCGGUGUGAUAAUGUCUACGCCGCGACCGUGAAGCGUUUGGCGAGCUUCUAACCGUCUUAUAAGACAGCUUUAUGACCU
RNAcentral lists this unclassified non-coding RNA (191 nucleotides) under uncultured Ganoderma. RNAcentral's name for it is "sequence contains ITS2". Lineage: Eukaryota; Fungi; Basidiomycota; Agaricomycetes; Polyporales; Polyporaceae. The record is from RNAcentral.